This 497-nucleotide ribosomal RNA is filed under the name uncultured bacterium. RNAcentral's name for it is "partial 16S ribosomal RNA". It matches the Rfam family "Bacterial small subunit ribosomal RNA", at positions 28 to 507 of the family's 1533-position model. The record is from RNAcentral.
GAUGAACGCUGGCGGCGUGCCUAAUACAUGCAAGUCGAGCGAACAGACGAGGAGCUUGCUCCUCUGACGUUAGCGGCGGACGGGUGAGUAACACAUGGAUAACCUACCUAUAAGACUGGGAUAACUUCGGGAAACCGGAGCUAAUACCGGAUAACAUGUUGAACCGCAUGGUUCAACAGUGAAAGACGGUUUUGCUGUCACUUAUAGAUGGAUCCGCGCCGCAUUAGCUAGUUGGUAAGGUAACGGCUUACCAAGGCAACGAUGCGUGGCCGACCUGAGAGGGUGAUCGGCCACACUGGAACUGAGACACGGUCCAGACUCCUACGGGAGGCAGCAGUAGGGAAUCUUCCGCAAUGGGCGAAAGCCUGACGGAGCAACGCCGCGUGAGUGAAGAAGGUCUUCGGAUCGUAAAACUCUGUUAUUAGGGAAGAACAAAUGUGUAAGUAACUAUGCACGUCUUGACGGUACCUAAUCAGAAAGCCACGGCUAACUACGUG